Molecule: ribosomal RNA, 460 nt
Filed under: uncultured bacterium
Lineage: Bacteria
Description: partial 16S ribosomal RNA
Rfam family: Bacterial small subunit ribosomal RNA
Source: RNAcentral
CCUACGGGUGGCAGCAGUGAGGAAUAUUGGUCAAUGGGCGGGAGCCUGAACCAGCCAAGCCGCGUGAGGGAAGAAGGUACAGCGUAUCGUAAACCUCUUUUGCCGGGGAGCCAAGUGCCGCACGUGUGCGGUUUGGAGAGUACCCGGAGAAAAAGCAUCGGCUAACUCCGUGCCAGCAGCCGCGGUAAUACGGAGGAUGCGAGCGUUAUCCGGAUUUAUUGGGUUGAAAGGGAGCGUAGGCCGCAUGUCAAGCGUGCUGUGAAAUGUCCGGGCUCAACCCGGGCCUUGCAGCGCGAACUGGCGUGCUUGAGUCCGCGGAAAGCAGGCGGAAUUCGUCGUGUAGCGGUGAAAUGCUUAGAUAUGACGAAGAACCCCGAUUGCGAAGGCAGCUUGCUGCAGCGGAACUGACGCUGAUGCUCGAAAGCGCGGGUAUCGAACAGGAUUAGAUACCCUGGUAGUC